UUCUGGUCUUAACAUAAAAUACUUUAAUAAUAAGAGCUAUGCCCUUUAAACUAAAAGGAUUUGGCGGUAAUUUAGCCCAGUUAGAGGAACCUGUUUAAUAAACGAUAAACCACGUAAUAUCUUACCUCUCCUUCAAAGCCUGUAUACCGUCAUUAUUAGAUAACUCUUAAAAGACUAGUUAUUUCAAUAAAUAAACACUUAGUAUAUUAGAUCAAGGUGCAGCCUAUGGAAAGGAUAAAAUGGGUUACAAUAAAACUUAUUUAAUACGGAUAAAAAAUUUAAAUAUUUUUUUUAAGGAGGAUUUAAUUGUAAAGUUAUUUUAAUAUGUUAACUUGAUAAUGGAUCUAAAUUGAGUACAUAUCGCCCGUCGCUUCCAUCUAUAAAUGGAAUAAGUCGUAACAUAG
RNAcentral lists this ribosomal RNA (404 nucleotides) under Grynaminna tamakii. RNAcentral's name for it is "partial 12S ribosomal RNA". Lineage: Eukaryota; Metazoa; Arthropoda; Malacostraca; Decapoda; Callianassidae. The record is from RNAcentral.